Molecule: long non-coding RNA, 1066 nt
Organism: Neopsephotus bourkii (Bourke's parrot)
Lineage: Eukaryota; Metazoa; Chordata; Aves; Psittaciformes; Psittacidae
Exons: 2
Source: RefSeq, a predicted model, not a curated record
ACUACAUAAAAUAAUUUCAGAUGUCUUUGGCUGCAGUUUAUAAGUGGUUUAUUUUUCAGAUGAUUUUAUUGGUCUUGAAGAUAUAAAUAAAAAUCACCAGGAGAAUCAAGACUCUUCUGAAACACUUGAAGUAGUGGAGCUGUUUCAAGGGGUGAUAGAGGAGAACAUUGUGGCCUGCACUGGCCCCGCCUCUCUGGAUGCUGUGUCUCAUCAGCCAUGACUGACUAUAUUAAAUUCUGCAUGAUGGAAAAGAAACUUCUCACUUUGAUUGCACCAUGGAAGGACUCCAGUUGGCCACCGAGGAUUUUAAACGUGAGGAGUAACCUCGAAGGAAGAAAACACUGUAGAUUCUUGGCAUGAAUCUCUGGCUACCUUCUCCACAGCCCCCUGACAGCAACCUCUCUGUCCACGUAUGAAAAGUCAAAAUUGAGAUAACUCUGUUGUGUGUACCAUAGGGUCACUUUCUGAAGCCCUUUGGGAUUUAUACCUUCUUAGCACAUCCUUGAGUGUGGUACAAAGAGAUUGAGAUAAGAAACCUGUAAGCAGAAAGGAGAUGUCUGUCUGCAUGAGGUGUGAGCUUCAGACUCUGGUAUUUAAUUCACUUGUACCAGGAUCCAAGAUGUUGCCACAUCAGCUGGUACACGAACUGGUAGUGAUGCCUACCUGCAGGGAAAGGUGCCUGUUAUAUGUCUUACCCUACUUUUGCUUUUCAUCCUGCCAGUCAUAAUCACACCCCAGUCUGUUUACAACCUCAGGUGGACUGUUUUCAUCAGUAACUCCUACUCCUUCACCCAGAGGUGCACAACUUAACCACUUUUUCUCCUAAAACUAGGCUUAGUGCUUCCCUUCAACUACACUUAUUUGGGACUAUAGAAAUAAGGAGAAAAUUCACUGUAGAUCUGGUUCAGACACAUUGGAGGUGAGGUGCAUAUGGUUUGUGGUAGAUUGAUAAGCCUUAUAAGCACUGAUAAUGAGUGAUUUGAUAUUUCCAUUAGUAGUAUUGCUUUUGCUAUUUUUUACUUACAUUCUUAUGAUUUAAGCCUGAAGCAGUUGUUUCCUCUUUUUU